GCCCUUAGAGUUUGAUCCUGGCUCAGGACGAACGCUGGCGGCGUGCUUAACACAUGCAAGUCGAACGGGCCUUAACGAAUAGAUUACUAUGAGCUAAGGUUAGUGGCGGACGGGUGAGUAACACGUGGAUAACCUACCUGACACAUCGGGAUAACACCGUGAAAACAGUGCUAAUACCGGAUACGUUCUUUAGGGCGCAUGGUCUAAAGAAGAAAGGGGGAACCCGGUGACAGAUGGGUCCGCGUCCCAUUAGCUAGUUGGAGGUGUAAAGGACCCCCAAGGCGACGAUGGGUAGCCGGCCUGAGAGGGUGGACGGCCACACUGGAACUGAGACACGGUCCAGACUCCUACGGGAGGCAGCAGUGGGGAAUCUUCCGCAAUGGGCGCAAGCCUGACGGAGCAACGCCGCGUGAGUGAUGAAGGCUUUCGGGUUGUAAAACUCUGUCUUCAGGGAAGAAACAAAUGACGGUACCUGAGGAGGAAGCCCCGGCUAACUACGUGCCAGCAGCCGCGGUAAAACGUAGGGGGCGAGCGUUGUCCGGAAUUACUGGGCGUAAAGGGCGCGUAGGCGGUUUUUCAAGUCAGGGGUGAAAACUCUGGGCUCAACUCAGAGCCUGCCUCUGAAACUGGAAGACUUGAGGGCAGGAGAGGGGAGUGGAAUUCCCAGUGUAGCGGUGAAAUGCGUAGAUAUUGGGAGGAACACCAGUGGCGAAGGCGACUCUCUGGCCUAACCCUGACGCUGAGGCGCGAAAGCGUGGGGAGCAAACGGGAUUAGAUACCCCGGUAGUCCUGGCCGUAAA
RNAcentral lists this ribosomal RNA (800 nucleotides) under uncultured bacterium. Its description in RNAcentral is "bacterial SSU rRNA". It matches the Rfam family "Bacterial small subunit ribosomal RNA", at positions 1 to 806 of the family's 1533-position model. The record is from RNAcentral.